GUUUAUGUAGUUUAAAAAAAAACAAAUUAUUUUCAAUAAUUAGAAAAAAAAAUAUUUCUUAAACU
This is a non-coding RNA of Nilaparvata lugens (brown planthopper), 65 nucleotides long. The record is from the annotation of a RefSeq genome assembly. NCBI's taxonomy places the organism in Eukaryota, Metazoa, Arthropoda, Insecta, Hemiptera, Delphacidae.